Molecule: ribosomal RNA, 160 nt
Filed under: uncultured bacterium
Lineage: Bacteria
Description: partial 16S ribosomal RNA
Rfam family: Bacterial small subunit ribosomal RNA
Source: RNAcentral
UAGGGAAUCUUCCGCAAUGGGCGAAAGCCUGACGGAGCAACGCCGCGUGAGUGAUGAAGGUCUUCGGAUCGUAAAGCUCUGUUGUUAGGGAAGAACAUAUGUGUAAGUAACUGUGCACAUCUUGACGGUACCUAACCAGAAAGCCACGGCUAACUACGUG